RNAcentral lists this ribosomal RNA (253 nucleotides) under uncultured bacterium. RNAcentral's name for it is "partial 16S ribosomal RNA". It matches the Rfam family "Bacterial small subunit ribosomal RNA", at positions 524 to 776 of the family's 1533-position model. The record is from RNAcentral.
UACGUAGGGGGCAAGCGUUGUCCGGAUUUAUUGGGCGUAAAGAGCGUGUAGGCGGCCAUACAGGUCAGCUGUGAAAACUCGAGGCUCAACCUCGAGACGUCGGUUGAAACCGUAUGGCUAGAGUCCGGAAGAGGAGAGUGGAAUUCCCGGUGUAGCGGUGAAAUGCGCAGAUAUCGGGAAGAACACCUAUGGCGAAGGCAGCUCUCUGGGACGGUACUGACGCUGGGACGCGAAAGCGUGGGGAGCGAACAGG